AUAUUAUUAAGCGGAGGAAAAGAAACUAACAAGGAUGCCCUCAGUAACGGCGAGUGAAGCGGGCAAAGCUCAACCUGAAAAUCGGGUUUCCAAACGGGAUCUCGAAUUGUGGGCUACAGACGCUGGAUCAGUGUGUGACCCAGGUAUAACUCUUUUGAAACAAGGGAUCAUAGAGGGUGAGAAUCCCGUCUGUGACCUGGAGUUCGCCGCGUACGAUCCGUGUUCAUAGAGUCGAGUUGUUUGGGAUUGCAGCUCUAAAUGGGUGGUAAAUUUCAUCUAAAGCUAAAUAUCGACGAGAGACCGAUAGCGCACAAGUA
Molecule: ribosomal RNA, 317 nt
Filed under: uncultured eukaryote
Lineage: Eukaryota
Description: partial large subunit ribosomal RNA
Rfam family: Eukaryotic large subunit ribosomal RNA
Source: RNAcentral